GUGCUGGCAUUGGCAGUACAUAUAAGAAGACUGAAACAGCACAGAGAUCAGCGUGGCCCCUGUGCAAGAGUGACCUGCAAAUCAUGAGGCGUUCCAUGUUUAA
Small nuclear RNA from Rattus norvegicus (Norway rat), 103 nucleotides. NCBI's taxonomy places the organism in Eukaryota, Metazoa, Chordata, Mammalia, Rodentia, Muridae. The record is from Ensembl.